Molecule: ribosomal RNA, 307 nt
Filed under: Chrysis sp. JMC-1999
Lineage: Eukaryota; Metazoa; Arthropoda; Insecta; Hymenoptera; Chrysididae
Description: SSU rRNA
Rfam family: Eukaryotic small subunit ribosomal RNA (bases 131-307)
Source: RNAcentral
AUUUGUGUGCCACACUGUCGGUGCACCGCUCGCGGUCGCAACUGGCAUGUUGUGGGACGUCCUACCGGUGGACUUAGCCCUUCGGGGCGGUCCUCUAAAUCCUAUCGCGGUUCACUUCAUUGCUGUGCCGUGAUGGGCCGGUACGUUUACUUUGAACAAAUUAGAGUGCUUAAAGCAGGCUAUCUUCGCCUGAAUACUGUGUGCAUGGAAUAAUGGAAUAGGACCUCGGUUCUAUUUUGUUGGUUUUCGGAACCCCGAGGUAAUGAUUAAUAGGGACAGAUGGGGGCAUUCGUAUUGCGACGUUAGA